Long non-coding RNA from Schistocerca nitens (vagrant locust), 507 nucleotides. RefSeq lists it as uncharacterized. The transcript has 3 exons. The record is from RefSeq and is a predicted model, not a curated record. NCBI's taxonomy places the organism in Eukaryota, Metazoa, Arthropoda, Insecta, Orthoptera, Acrididae.
AAGUCCCUGUACUUGUUUAAAUAAAUGCUUCACAAAACUGCUUGGAGAGGAAGAAAACAUUUUUCAUUCAUUUUGGGACAUAGGAAACUUUAAUGCCCAGAAUACUUACCUGAUGAGCUGUAUGAAAAUGAAACCGAAAAAGCGGAGAGCUAUCCAAAAAUGGCUUCCAAGAAAAUAUCAUCCAGGGAUGUUACAUUUUCUUAUAAUGUGAGGGUAUGCGGAAUAGAAGUCAUGAUCUGCAAGGAAGCUUCCCUAAGGGUUCAUGGCUUACAGAUACAUGCAUGAAGAGUGAGGAAUUUGCAACAUCAAAUGAAGCAGGGAUUUGCAGUGCCAAAAGAAGAUGGAAGAGGAAAACAUGGAAACUACCCACAUAAAUUUCAAGACGAAGCGGUACAAAGUGUUAGAGAAUUUCUCAACGCCAUACCGAAAUAUGUCAUUACAGUAGGCAACAGAACCCCAAUAAAGUGUAUUUGGAUUGUGAUCUCACAACUGCUUCCUUAUUUCGAG